This 253-nucleotide ribosomal RNA is filed under the name uncultured prokaryote. Its description in RNAcentral is "partial 16S ribosomal RNA". It matches the Rfam family "Bacterial small subunit ribosomal RNA", at positions 524 to 776 of the family's 1533-position model. The record is from RNAcentral.
UACGAAGGGGGCUAGCGUUGCUCGGAAUGACUGGGCGUAAAGGGCGCGUAGGCGGACGGCUUUGUCGGGCGUGAAAUUCCAGGGCUUAACCUUGGGUCUGCGUUCGAGACGGGUUGUCUAGAGUGAGGAAGAGGGUUGUGGAAUUCCCAGUGUAGAGGUGAAAUUCGUAGAUAUUGGGAAGAACACCGGUGGCGAAGGCGGCAACCUGGUCCUUGACUGACGCUGAGGCGCGAAAGCGUGGGGAGCAAACAGG